Molecule: long non-coding RNA, 1076 nt
Organism: Hyaena hyaena (striped hyena)
Lineage: Eukaryota; Metazoa; Chordata; Mammalia; Carnivora; Hyaenidae
Exons: 3
Source: RefSeq, a predicted model, not a curated record
AGGCACAUAGACCCUCUCUGCCACCUGCCGAGGCGAGGACUCAGAUCACCCUCGCUUAACAGAACAUUCAGUCACCGCCUGUCCCUGUGCUCAGCUGUCCUUGCGCCCCUGACCUCGCUUCCUGCCCACCCGCCCGGGGUUUUCCCAGUAUCCUUGUCUCUUGCUGACAUCUCGCGAAGAGGAUCAGAGCGUAGGAAAAAGAGAAAGAGAAACAGGGGCCAAGAGGCGCCGAGAGAGUCCCAAGACUGGAAGUCCUCCCGGUUUCUGCAGCCCCAACUGCUGUUGUUUGUUUCUGGGCAUGUCUCUCUCGCUGGAACGUCAGCUCCUUGAGGACAGGGACCCCGGCCGCCUUCCUCACCCAGCACAGUGCCGGGGACACAUUGUUGAGUGAAGGGUGUCAACUUCUCCCUGUCUGCGCUUCGUUGUAUGGUUAUUCGAUUUAGGGUCUGUGUCCCCUCUGGUCCCAAGAAGGCAAGGCCUGUGGCUGCCAUGUUCACUCUCAAAUCCCCAGUGCCUGGAACGGUGCUUGGAACUGAGUAGACACUCAAAUAUCGGUUGAGUGAAUGAAUGAGCAAAUGAAUUAAUCACUAGACAUCUGGAAGUUUUGAAUCUUGUGUUUUCACCCACUGGAAUGCAGCUCACAUCGUCCCCAUGACCAUUCACAUCAAACCCUGAGCCCUUCCUAAGGCCUGUGAGGUCCCGGUCCCGCGUGAUCUGGCCCCUGCCUCCAGCUCCAGCCUCACCUCUGCCCCUCGCCUCCCCUCCCCCUGGCAGCAGCGUCUCUGACCCCCAGGCAUCGAGCAUGGCAGAGGCUCUCAGCCACCCCUUCACAACGACACCAUCAGUCAUGUCAGCACGGUCAGUUUUCUCUGUAAACAAGACUCCCUUGGAGAAUGGAGCACAUUUGUACAAACAACCUCAAUGUCACCAAUGGACCUUGGUCACUGCGGGAUAGUCUCCAAGGAUCGGCCGGCUGGCUGUCCGGGGCCUUGUCCUGAGACAGGUCUGAGUCCUAGCCUCCAAAGGGCUGCCCGAGGGGCGCCUGGGGGGCUCAGUCAGUUAAGCGUCCAACUUCA